This 122-nucleotide microRNA precursor is filed under the name Arabidopsis thaliana (thale cress). RNAcentral's name for it is "microRNA MIR405". It matches the Rfam family "MIR405 microRNA precursor family". RNAcentral also lists the same sequence under 1 other name. The record is from RNAcentral. Lineage: Eukaryota; Viridiplantae; Streptophyta; Magnoliopsida; Brassicales; Brassicaceae.
UUAACCCAAUUAACAACUCAACCCAUCAAAUUAAAUGAGUUAUGGGUUGACCCAACCCAUUUAACAAAAUGAGUUGGGUCAACCCAUAACUCAUUUAACCCUAAACUCAUUUGAUUAUGAGU